This 325-nucleotide ribosomal RNA is filed under the name uncultured eukaryote. RNAcentral's name for it is "partial 18S ribosomal RNA". It matches the Rfam family "Eukaryotic small subunit ribosomal RNA", at positions 1470 to 1796 of the family's 1831-position model. The record is from RNAcentral.
CCCUUAGAUGUUCUGGGCUGCACGCGCGCUACACUGAUACUUUCAGCGAGUCCACCACCUUGCCUGGGAGGGUGGGGUAACCUCUGGAAAGUGCAUCGUGAUGGGGAUCGAUUAUUGUAAUUAUUAAUCUUCAACGAGGAAUUCCUAGUAAGCAUGUGUCAUCAGCCCGUGCUGAUUACGUCCCUGCCCUUUGUACACACCGCCCGUCGCUCCUACCGAUUGAGUGAUCCGGUGAGCCAUUCGGACUUUCAUCAUGCUGGUUUCCAGUUUUGAUGAAGGAAAGUCUUGCGAACCUUAUCAUUUAGAGGAAGGAGAAGUCGUAACA